GACGAACGCUGGCGGCGUGCCUAAUACAUGCAAGUUGAGCGCUGAAGGUUGGUACUUGUACCAACUGGAUGAGCAGCGAACGGGUGAGUAACGCGUGGGGAAUCUGCCUUUGAGCGGGGGACAACAUUUGGAAACGAAUGCUAAUACCGCAUAAAAACUUUAAACACAAGUUUUAAGUUUGAAAGAUGCAAUUGCAUCACUCAAAGAUGAUCCCGCGUUGUAUUAGCUAGUUGGUGAGGUAAAGGCUCACCAAGGCGAUGAUACAUAGCCGACCUGAGAGGGUGAUCAGCCACAUUGGGACGGAGACACGGCCCAAACGCCUACGGGAGGCAGCAGUAGGGAAUCUUCGGCAAUGGACGAAAGUCUGACCGAGCAACGCCGCGGGAGUGAAGAAGGUUUUCGGAUCGUAAAACUCGGUUGGUAGAGAAGAACGUUGGUGAGAGUGGAAAGCUCAUCAAGUGACGGUAACUACCCAGAAAGGGACGGCUAACUACGUG
This 497-nucleotide ribosomal RNA is filed under the name uncultured bacterium. RNAcentral's name for it is "partial 16S ribosomal RNA". It matches the Rfam family "Bacterial small subunit ribosomal RNA", at positions 28 to 507 of the family's 1533-position model. The record is from RNAcentral.